Molecule: ribosomal RNA, 606 nt
Filed under: Brachybacterium sp. o8-t7p
Lineage: Bacteria; Bacillati; Actinomycetota; Actinomycetes; Micrococcales; Dermabacteraceae
Description: bacterial SSU rRNA
Rfam family: Bacterial small subunit ribosomal RNA
Source: RNAcentral
GGCGUGCUUAACACAUUCAAGUCGAACGAUGACGGCCGUGCUUGCACGGUCUGAUUAGUGGCGAACGGGUGAGUAACACGUGAGUAACCUGCCCUCCACUUCGGGAUAACCUCGGGAAAUCGUGGCUAAUACCGGAUAUGAGCAUUCAUCGCAUGGUGGGUGUUGGAAAGAUUUAUCGGUGGAGGAUGGACUCGCGGCCUAUCAGUUUGUUGGUGAGGUGAUGGCUCACCAAGACGAUGACGGGUAGCCGGCCUGAGAGGGCGACCGGCCACACUGGGACUGAGACACGGCCCAGCCUCCUACGGGAGGCAGCAGUGGGGAAUAUUGCACAAUGGGCGGAAGCCUGAUGCAGCGACGCCGCGUGGGGGAUGACGGCCUUCGGGUUGUAAACCUCUUUCAGUAGGGAAGAAGCGAAAGUGACGGUACCUGCAGAAGAAGCGCCGGCUAACUACGUGCCAGCAGCCGCGGUAAUACGUAGGGCGCAAGCGUUGUCCGGAAUUAUUGGGCGUAAAGAGCUUGUAGGUGGCUUGUCGCGUCUGCCGUGAAAACCCGAGGCUCAACCUCGGGCGUGCGGUGGGUACGGGCAGGCUAGAGUGUGGUAGGGGA